UGAGUCGGCCAGGCGGUCGCGUCGACCGCGCUCGAUCCGGGGGUCACCCCGAUCGGGCGGGUCGCCGAGGAACGUCCGGGCUCCACAGGGCAGGGUGGUGGCUAACGGCCACCCGGGGCGACCCGCGGGACAGUGCCACAGAAAAGAAACCGCCCGUGUACCACCGGCCCAGGCCGGCAGGCGCGGGUAAGGGUGAAACGGUGCGUGUAAGAGACCACCAGCGCCCCAGGUGACUGGGGCGGCUCGGUAAACCCCACCCGGAGCAAGACCAGACAGUGCGCGUUCGAGGGCUGCCCGCCCGAGCGCACGGGUAGGUCGCUAGAGAUGUACGGCAACGUGCAUCCGAGAUGGAUGAUCGCCCACGACAGAACCCGGCGUACCGGCCGACUCAUCCG
This 395-nucleotide RNase P RNA is filed under the name Kineosphaera limosa. RNAcentral's name for it is "RNase P class A". It matches the Rfam family "Bacterial RNase P class A". Rfam says of the family: Ribonuclease P (RNase P) is a ubiquitous endoribonuclease, found in archaea, bacteria and eukarya as well as chloroplasts and mitochondria. Its best characterised activity is the generation of mature 5'-ends of tRNAs by cleaving the 5'-leader elements of precursor-tRNAs. RNAcentral also lists the same sequence under 1 other name. Lineage: Bacteria; Bacillati; Actinomycetota; Actinomycetes; Micrococcales; Dermatophilaceae. The record is from RNAcentral.